AUUGAACGCUGGCGGCAGGCCUAACACAUGCAAGUCGAGCGGAUGAAGGGAGCUUGCUCCUGGAUUCAGCGGCGGACGGGUGAGUAAUGCCUAGGAAUCUGCCUGGUAGUGGGGAUAACGUCCGGAAACGGGCGCUAAUACCGCAUACGUCCUGAGGGAGAAAGGGGGGGAUCUUCGGACCUCACGCUAUCAGAUGAGCCUAGGUCGGAUUAGCUAGUUGGUGGGGUAAAGGCCUACCAAGGCGACGAUCCGUAACUGGUCUGAGAGGAUGAUCAGUCACACUGGAACUGAGACACGGUCCAGACUCCUACGGGAGGCAGCAGUGGGGAAUAUUGGACAAUGGGCGAAAGCCUGAUCCAGCCAUGCCACGUGUGUGAAGAAGGUCUUCGGAUUGUAAAGCACUUUAAGUUGGGAGGAAGGGCAGUAAGUUAAUACCUUGCUGUUUUGACGUUACCAACAGAAUAAGCACCGGCUAACUUCGUG
Molecule: ribosomal RNA, 483 nt
Filed under: uncultured bacterium
Lineage: Bacteria
Description: partial 16S ribosomal RNA
Rfam family: Bacterial small subunit ribosomal RNA
Source: RNAcentral